Molecule: long non-coding RNA, 1034 nt
Organism: Numida meleagris (helmeted guineafowl)
Lineage: Eukaryota; Metazoa; Chordata; Aves; Galliformes; Numididae
Exons: 3
Source: RefSeq, a predicted model, not a curated record
UUUGUGCAUAGGGUUUGGCAAAAAAAAAGCUUAUUUAUGCAAGAAUAGAGCAAUUUUCAGGGCUUGUCAACACUGACGCUUUUUGUUUCUCUGCUCCCUCCAUCACAGUACCUUUCAUCUGCGGAAUUCACAACAAUGCAAUAAUCCUCCUAACAGCUUUUGUAGGAUGUAGCAAGAGGCAUUACUUGGAGGAGCCAUGAUAUUUUUAUAUGUAUGGAAAGAAGCAGAGCAACUGUGGAAGAAAAGAAGGGGACGUGACCAAAGGAAUUUGGGAAGUGAAGAGAAACUGCUCAGCCAAUGUGGCUAAGUAGCUUUGGCCACAGUAAAUGAAUUUAUUUGGAAAUUAGCUGCAUCUAAAUGGUUUUGUCACGUGUUCAGUGUGAUGUAGAAACCUAGCACCUGCUGUUAACACAGUGGUUUGCACAGGUAAGCAAGCUUAUGAAUAGUGUGUGCUACUGAGUUGGCAGUUUAAACUAACAGAUACCAGAACACCCUAGAUUUCAGCUGGCUGAAGCCCUAAUGUACUUCUGUGUAUUUUCUUCCCUUUCAUUCUUCCCUCUACAGACUGAAAAAAUGGUAAAGAGAAGCUCUAACCCAACAGUAGCACUUUCAAACAUCUUCAUUUCUAAAUGACAACAAAUAAUAAAGAUACUUACAUUUUGCUAAAACUAGGCAUAUACUAAAAUAGGGAUAUGAGCUAGUUGUAUCAAAACCUCCAGUCAUUGUAGUUGCAACCAUUUCCACCAGCUGAGAACAAAGUUCCUGAUUCACAGAAGUGCUGAGAACCUGCUGCUCCAGUUGAAGAGGCUGAGAGAGGCAGGCUGUCAUCACGUCUGGCAGUCAGACCAUGUGUGAUUCAGUUUGGGGCCCUCAAAUCUGCAGCCUUCGCGUAUUAACUUGGCUGUGACUUGCACUGGGGGAAAUCUGCAUUGGACGAUACACUAUAGCACAUUGCUGGACUCUAAUCUUGCACAAAGUCCUAGCUUCUCUCACAGAACACUGACUGCUUUUUCACAGGUCUUUCCUAACAUGGU